GAUGAAGAACGCAGCGAAAUGCGAUAAGUAGUGUGAAUUGCAGAAUUUAGUGAAUCAUCGAAUCUUUGAACGCACAUUGCGCCCGCCAGUAUUCUGGCGGGCAUGCCUGUUCGAGCGUCAUUUCAACCAUCAAGCCCCCGGCUUGUGUUGGGGACCUGCGGCUGCCGCAGGCCCUGAAAAGCAGUGGCGGGCUCGCUGUCACACCGAGCGUAGUAGCAUACAUCUCGCUCUGGGCGUGCUGCGGGUUCCGGCCGUUAAACCACCUUCAUAACCCAAGGUUGACCUCGGAUCAGGUAGGAAGACCCGCUGAACUUAAGCAUAUCAAUAAGCGGAGGA
Molecule: unclassified non-coding RNA, 336 nt
Filed under: soil metagenome
Description: partial contains 5.8S ribosomal RNA, internal transcribed spacer 2, and large subunit ribosomal RNA
Rfam family: 5.8S ribosomal RNA (bases 1-120)
Source: RNAcentral